UACGGAGGGUGCAAGCGUUAUCCGGAUUCACUGGGUUUAAAGGGUGCGUAGGCGGCCCUGUAAGUCAGUGCUGAAAUAUCCCGGCUUAACCGGGAGGGUGGCAUUGAUACUGCAGGGCUUGAGUAAAGUUGAGGUUGGCGGAAUUGACGGUGUAGCGGUGAAAUGCUUAGAUAUCGUCAAGAACACCUAUUGCGUAGGCAGCUAACUAAGCUUUAACUGACGCUGAGGCACGAAAGUGUGGGGAUCAAACAGG
RNAcentral lists this ribosomal RNA (253 nucleotides) under uncultured bacterium. RNAcentral's name for it is "partial 16S ribosomal RNA". It matches the Rfam family "Bacterial small subunit ribosomal RNA", at positions 524 to 776 of the family's 1533-position model. The record is from RNAcentral.